CCCUUAGAUGUCCUGGGCCGCACGCGCGCUACACUGAUGCAUUCAACGAGUUUUACCUUGGCCGAGAGGCCUGGGCAAUCUUUUAAACCUGCAUCGUGAUAGGGAUAGAUUAUUGCAAUUAUUAAUCUUGAACGAGGAAUUCCUAGUAAACGCAGAUCAUCAAUCUGCAUUGAUUACGUCCCUGCCCUUUGUACACACCGCCCGUCGCACCUACCGAUUGAAUGGUCCGGUGAAGCCUCGGGAUUGUGGCCAGUUCACUUUAUUGGGAGUUGGCUGCGAGAACUUGUCUAAACCUCAUCAUUUAGAGGAAGGUGAAGUCGUAACA
RNAcentral lists this ribosomal RNA (325 nucleotides) under uncultured eukaryote. RNAcentral's name for it is "partial 18S ribosomal RNA". It matches the Rfam family "Eukaryotic small subunit ribosomal RNA", at positions 1470 to 1796 of the family's 1831-position model. The record is from RNAcentral.